RNAcentral lists this ribosomal RNA (246 nucleotides) under uncultured bacterium. Its description in RNAcentral is "partial 16S ribosomal RNA". It matches the Rfam family "Bacterial small subunit ribosomal RNA", at positions 524 to 768 of the family's 1533-position model. The record is from RNAcentral.
UACGUAGGGGGCAAGCGUUGUCCGGAUUUAUUGGGCGUAAAGAGCGUGUAGGCGGUCAGGUAGGUCCGUUGUGAAAACUCGAGGCUCAACCUCGAGACGCCGAUGGAAACCAUCUGACUAGAGUCCGGAAGAGGAGAGUGGAAUUCCCGGUGUAGCGGUGAAAUGCGCAGAUAUCGGGAAGAACACCCGUGGCGAAGGCGGCACUCUGGGGACGGUACUGACGCUGAGACGCGAAAGCGUGGGGAG